This 117-nucleotide ribosomal RNA is filed under the name Oscillospiraceae bacterium. Lineage: Bacteria; Bacillati; Bacillota; Clostridia; Eubacteriales; Oscillospiraceae. The record is from RNAcentral.
GUCGGUGUUGAUGGCGCUGAGGGUCCACCCGUUCCCAUCCCGAACACGGUAGUUAAGCUCAUCCGUGCCGAAAAUACUUGUCUGGCGACGGACUGGAAAGAUAGGUCAGUGCCAACA